Long non-coding RNA from Homo sapiens (human), 811 nucleotides. Ensembl annotates it as MYO18B antisense RNA 1. Its record names the gene MYO18B-AS1. NCBI's taxonomy places the organism in Eukaryota, Metazoa, Chordata, Mammalia, Primates, Hominidae. The record is from Ensembl.
CACCAACAGGAAGAGGAACCAGGAUCAGUCCACUUAGAUGUACUGACUGCAUCAUUUAGUCCUCAGCACAAGGGGGCGAUCUUAUCACCAACCUACGGAUAAGGAAUCUGGCUGGGAAGGACUGAAUGACCUGCUCAAGGUCACACAUCUAGAAAGAGGCACCUUUAGGACUUGAAUGAGAUGACUUUUAUAUCAAUGCCUGGGCUCCUAAUCGCCAUGCUGUCUUGACCGUCUGCAACAAACCCUUCACUCGACAAAUGGGGAUGUUAAGGCCCAGAAAGGCAAAGAAAGUUCCCCAAGGUCACAAGAUCAAUUGGCCACAUAGUUGAGGCUGGCUAAGAGAAAAGAAUAAUUUCUUGCUGGAUUCUUGGGAGAACCAUACAGGAAUAAGCUCAUGGUUUCGACUUUGUUGGUUCUCUAGCAGGACGCAGGUAUCCUCAAGGUCACAGCUCUUUCCUGGCUGUCAGCUCCGAGUCCAGCCUCUCCUCGCAUUGCUGCAGACGCUUUCUGAGGAACUCGUUCUCCAUCUGAGCACAGUCGAAGCGCAUCUGCCACUCGUCUGCUGUUUAACGGAGUCAGGGAGACCAGGAUAAGAGGCCAAAUGAGUACCCCUGAUCUCCAUUCCCCUGGACAUCUCAAGGGCACAAAUUCUCUGGACACACGGAGGGAAUAAUGCUGACAUUUUAUAGAAGCUGACCCACUGGAUAUCCUUCUCACCCAACUCCAUUAGGCUGGGGAGAGUAAGAGGCACGGUGACAAGGUGGCAAAGAUGUCACCAUGCCAUCCAAUCACGAGGUCUCCAGGAAACUGU